Long non-coding RNA from Felis catus (domestic cat), 1170 nucleotides. RefSeq lists it as uncharacterized. The record is from RefSeq and is a predicted model, not a curated record. The transcript has 3 exons. NCBI's taxonomy places the organism in Eukaryota, Metazoa, Chordata, Mammalia, Carnivora, Felidae.
UGUCUCUGUCAAAAUAAAUAAACCAAAAAAAAAAAAAAAAAGACCUAAUUUCUUAAAAAAAAAAGUGUAUAGCAGCCAAUGGGGCCUGUCCCUCAGAAUUAUGGAAACUGUUAAUAAGACAUGAAGUGUCUAGGUGUAAAACUGAUGGGCAGGCAACAAGGGCACUAUUUGAUUUGUACAGUCAAAAAAUUAUGAUGGAUAAAACGAAAGCCGAAGGCAGUUGUAUCAAUAAAACAUCACAAUUUUUUAGUCCAAUUAUGAUUAACAUACAGUAUUAUAUUAGUUUCAGUUGUACAAUAUAAUUUAACAAUUCUGUACAUUUCUCAGUGCUUACCAAGAUAAAUAUACUCAUUUCAAUCUUUUGCCCAAUACCUGGGCCUGUGCCAGUUUCCAGACCCCAAAUGCAUUGACUGAAGAAGGUGGAUGCCGAAGAGAAAGGAACCAUGGCCAGUAAUGGGGAAAUGAUUUUUCCAGUCCUUCCUCAAAUGGAUCUAUGGCCACUUGGGUAACUGUACACCUUGGAAAAGAAACAGAUAACACAUGGGUAUAAGAAAGGUUUCCUGUCCUCUGAACUUUACUACAAGAAACCCAGCAACGCAAGUAUGGUGAUAAAUGUAAACUGACAACAGCAUUAAUGCGGGGGAGCUCUACAGAGUGGUAAUAGCUACUAUGUGCGAGCACCUACAUAUUCCGGCGGGACACUGAAGCGGAAGCAGAGAAACACACGCACACGGAGAGAUUGAGCAUUGCUUUCCUAAAGGUGCAAGGACACAGCGGACUCCAGAGCAGACAGCUAGCAAAAGCAGAAGAGUUUCCGGUCUCCCCAUGCCUGAGAAGAACCCUGAGGGUCUUUUGGACUAGAGUUUUCAAUAAUUCCUCUUCCUCUAUUUGAUUAGCUUCAUCUGGACACAACCCAUGAGGGAACAAACUGGAAUUCCUCCAGAUUAGAUGGAGAAAGAUUGCAAGGGAUCUAAACUUACUACAGAUGGAAGGGGAUGCUGUAAGACUGACAAACCAUAAGACCUGACAGUCUCAAACACAUAAAAGAGCUGUCAUGUUGAAAAGGAAUAGAACUUAGUGUUUUUCCUAAAUCUGAGAUUAAUCCAUGGCAUAGUAUUAUGUGAAAAUGUAGAAUAAAAAAUUCUAUCAAUAAUUGCAAAUAUGUAAAUG